AAAACGUCAGCUCACCCAGCUCAUGGGGGCUCCCAUCCACAGUGCACCGCCGAGGGUCUGGAGCCCCUUCCCCAUCCUCUCCUGAGCCCAGGAAAUCAAACUCAUUGAUAGCAUCCUCAGAGUCGUCUUCCUCAUCCUCGUCUUCCAUUUCGGGCACCAGAGCCUUGGAUGGGAGCUGGCACAUGGAGAAAGCCAGACAAGUCAGGGGGCCUCUUGUCCAGAGACUAAGCCACCUCCGUGCCUAGGAACAGCUGCAGUCCUUCAGUGUCGACUGCCUGAAAGCCUCUGGGGAAGCUGACACCUCUCGCCUCACCACCGCUAAAGUCCAUCAGCUCUGUCCCAGACAUCGAGCCAUCUCCUAACUGGUCCGCCUGCCUCCUCUGUGACCCUCCCACACCUCUCCUUCUCAGAGUGGAUCAGAGGCCCUCCCUGCCCACCCCCUGCAGAGGAGCACAUAUUGGCCCUCGUGGUCUCCAUCGUGCUUAGCAUCACCUACGUGGCCUCACUUGUUCUGCUUAACUGACAAUUGCUGAUGAGAGUGAACAAGCCAGAGAUUCCUGAG
This 562-nucleotide long non-coding RNA is filed under the name Homo sapiens (human). RNAcentral's name for it is "novel transcript, antisense to STRN4". Lineage: Eukaryota; Metazoa; Chordata; Mammalia; Primates; Hominidae. The record is from RNAcentral.